RNAcentral lists this ribosomal RNA (495 nucleotides) under uncultured bacterium. RNAcentral's name for it is "partial 16S ribosomal RNA". It matches the Rfam family "Bacterial small subunit ribosomal RNA", at positions 28 to 507 of the family's 1533-position model. The record is from RNAcentral.
GAUGAACGCUGGCGGCGUGCCUAAUACAUGCAAGUAUAACGCUGAAGGAGGAGCUUUCUCUUCUGGAUGAGUUGCGAACGGGUGAGUAACGCGUAGGUAACCUGCCUGGUAGCGGGGUAUAACUAUUGGAAACGAUAGCUAAUACCGCAUGACAACAGUUAUUGCAUGAUAACUGUUUAAAAGGUGCAACUGCUCCACUACCAGAUGGACCUGCGUUUUUUUAGCUAGUUGGUGAGGUAACGGCUCACCAAGGCGACGGUACAUAUCCGACCUGAGAGGGUGAACGGCCAAAAUGGGAGUGAGAAAAGGGCAAGACAGCUACGGGAGGGAGCAGUAGGGAAUCUUAGGAAAUGGACGGAAGACUGAACGAGAAAAGACGAGGGAGUGAAGAAGGAGGUCGGAUCGUAAAGCACUGUUGAAAGAGAAGAAAGAGUGUGAGAGUGGAAAGAACAGAGAGUGACGGUAACUAACAAGAAAGGGACGGCUAACUACGUG